This 346-nucleotide unclassified non-coding RNA is filed under the name soil metagenome. Its description in RNAcentral is "partial contains 5.8S ribosomal RNA, internal transcribed spacer 2, and large subunit ribosomal RNA". The stretch from base 1 to 120 matches the Rfam family "5.8S ribosomal RNA", at positions 35 to 154 of the family's 154-position model. The record is from RNAcentral.
GAUGAAGAACGUAGCGAAAUGCGAUACGUAAUGUGAAUUGCAGAAUUCAGUGAAUCAUCGAGUCUUUGAACGCACAUUGCGCCCUCUGGUAUUCCGGAGGGCAUGCCUGUCCGAGCGUCAUUGCUGCCCUCAAGCACGGCUUGUGUGUUGGGCCCCGCCCCCCGAUCCCGGGGGGCGGGCCCGAAAGGCAGCGGCGGCACCGCGUCCGGUCCUCGAGCGUAUGGGGCUUUGUCACCCGCUCUGUAGGCCCGGCCGGCGCCUGCCGAUCAACCAAAACUUUUUUCCAGGUUGACCUCGGAUCAGGUAGGGAUACCCGCUGAACUUAAGCAUAUCAAUAAGCGGAGGA